This 881-nucleotide ribosomal RNA is filed under the name Ceriosporopsis halima. RNAcentral's name for it is "LSU rRNA". It matches the Rfam family "Eukaryotic large subunit ribosomal RNA", at positions 41 to 957 of the family's 3401-position model. Lineage: Eukaryota; Fungi; Ascomycota; Sordariomycetes; Microascales; Halosphaeriaceae. The record is from RNAcentral.
UAUCACUAAGNGGAGGAAAAGAAACCAACAGGGAUUGCCUCAGUAACGGCGAGUGAAGCGGCAACAGCUCAAAUUUGAAAUCUGGUCCCUUGGGGCCCGAGUUGUAAUUUGCAGAGGAAACUUUUGGCAAGGAGCCUUCCGAGUUCCCUGGAACGGGACGCCGCAGAGGGUAACAGCCCCGUACGGUCGGAUUCCGAGCCUCUGUAAAGUUCCUUCGACGAGUCGAGUAGUUUGGGAAUGCUGCUCUAAAUGGGAGGUAAACCCCUUCUAAAGCUAAAUACUGGCCAGAGACCGAUAGCGCACAAGUAGAGUGAUCGAAAGAUGAAAAGCACUUUGAAAAGAGAGUUAAACAGCACGUGAAAUUGUUAAAAGGGAAGCGCUUGUGACCAGACUUGUGCCCGGCGGUUCAGCCGUCCUUCUGGGCGGUGCACUCCGCCGGCUCAGGCCAGCAUCAGUUCGCGGCGGGGGAGAAAAUCAGCGGGAACGUGGCUCUUCGGAGUGUUAUAGCCCGCUGUAAUACCCUGCUGCGGACUGAGGUUCGCGCAUCUGCAUGGAUGCUGGCGUAAUGGUUAUCAGCGACCCGUCUUGAAACACGGACCAAGGAGUCGUCCUAGUAUGCGAGUGUUAGGGUGUAAAACCCCUGCGCGAAAUGAAAGUGAACGGAGGUGAGAGCUUCGGCGCAUCAUCGACCGAUCCUGAUGUCUUCGGAUGGAUUUGAGUAUGAGCAUAUUGGGCCGGACCCGAAAGAAGGUGAACUAUGCUUGUAUAGGGUGAAGUCAGAGGAAACUCUGAUGGAGGCUCGCAGCGGUUCUGACGUNCAAAUCGAUCGUCAAAUAUGAGCAUGGGGGCGAAAGACUUAUCGAACCUUCUAGUACUGGUUC